GUAAGGAAUAUUGGUCAAUGGGCGAAAGCCUGAACCAGCCAUGCCGCGUGCAGGAUGACGGCCCUACGGGUUGUAAACUGCUUUUGUAUAGGAAGAAACCUCACUACGUGUAGUGGGCUGACGGUACUAUACGAAUAAGCACCGGCUAACUCCGUGCCAGCAGCCGCGGUAAUACGGAGGGUGCAAGCGUUAUCCGGAUUUAUUGGGUUUAAAGGGUGCGCAGGCGGAAUGAUAAGUCAGUGGUGAAAUCCUACAGCUCAACUGUAGAACUGCCAUUGAUACUGUCAUUCUUGAGUACAGUUGAAGUAGGCGGAAUGUAUCAUGUAGCGGUGAAAUGCAUAGAUAUGAUACAGAACUCCUAUAGCGAAGGCAGCUUACUAAACUGUAACUGACGCUCAGGCACGAAAGCGUGGGGAGCAAACAGGAUUAGAAACCCUAGUAGUCC
RNAcentral lists this ribosomal RNA (445 nucleotides) under uncultured bacterium. RNAcentral describes it as "bacterial SSU rRNA". It matches the Rfam family "Bacterial small subunit ribosomal RNA", at positions 354 to 796 of the family's 1533-position model. The record is from RNAcentral.